Molecule: ribosomal RNA, 239 nt
Filed under: uncultured bacterium
Lineage: Bacteria
Description: partial 16S ribosomal RNA
Rfam family: Bacterial small subunit ribosomal RNA
Source: RNAcentral
GGGUCCCUACGGGCGGCAGCAGUGAGGAAUAUUGGUCAAUGGUCGGGAGACUGAACCAGCCACGCCGCGUGAGGGAGGAAGGUACAGAGUAUCGUAACCCUCUUUUGUCAGGGAACAAAGGCGGGGACGUGUCCCCGGAUGAGUGUACCUGAAGAAAAAGCAUCGGCUAACUCCGUGCCAGCAGCCGCGGUAAUACGGAGGAUGCGAGCGUUAUCCGGAUUUAUUGGGUUUAAAGGGUG